GAAGCAAAGCCGCGAGGUAGAGCAAAUCUCAAAAAAACAAUCUCAGUUCAGACUGCAGGCUGCAACUCGCCUGCACGAAGUCGGAAUUGCUAGUAAUCGUAGGUCAGCAUACUACGGUGAAUACGUUCCCGGGCCUUGUACACACCGCCCGUCAAACCAUGAGAGUUGGCAACACCCGAAGUCGGUAGUCUAACCGCAAGGAGGACGCCGCCGAAGGUGGGGUUGAUGAUUAGGGUUAAGUCGUAACAAGGUAGC
Molecule: ribosomal RNA, 255 nt
Filed under: uncultured bacterium
Lineage: Bacteria
Description: partial 16S ribosomal RNA
Rfam family: Bacterial small subunit ribosomal RNA
Source: RNAcentral